Molecule: ribosomal RNA, 301 nt
Filed under: uncultured bacterium
Lineage: Bacteria
Description: partial 16S ribosomal RNA
Rfam family: Bacterial small subunit ribosomal RNA
Source: RNAcentral
CAGUCGCCACGGUAAUACGAAGGGGGCUAGCGUUGUUCGGAUUUACUGGGCGUAAAGCGCACGUAGGCGGAUCGAUCAGUCAGGGGUGAAAUCCCAGAGCUCAACUCUGGAACUGCCUUUGAUACUGUCGAUCUGGAGUAUGGAAGAGGUGAGUGGAAUUCCGAGUGUAGAGGUGAAAUUCGUAGAUAUUCGGAGGAACACCAGUGGCGAAGGCGGCUCACUGGUCCAUUACUGACGCUGAGGUGCGAAAGCGUGGGGAGCAAACAGGAUUAGAUACCCCCGUAGUCCCUGUCUCUUAUAU